Molecule: ribosomal RNA, 460 nt
Filed under: uncultured bacterium
Lineage: Bacteria
Description: partial 16S ribosomal RNA
Rfam family: Bacterial small subunit ribosomal RNA
Source: RNAcentral
CCUACGGGUCGCAGCAGUGAGGAAUAUUGGUCAAUGGGCGGGAGCCUGAAGCAGCCAAGUCGCGUGAGGGAAGACGGUCCUAUGGAUUGUAAACCUCUUUAGGCGGGGAGCAAUGCCGGGCACGUGUGCCCGGAGGGAGAGUACCCGCAGAAUAAGCAUCGGCUAACUCCGUGCCAGCCGCCGCGGUAAUACGGAGGAUGCGAGCGUUAUCCGGAUUUAUUGGGUUUAAAGGGUGCGUAGGCGGAUUUUUAAGUCAGCGGUAAAAUGUCCGGGCUCAACCCGGGCCGGCCGUUGAAACUGGGGAUCUUGAGUGGGCGAGAAGUAUGCGGAAUGCGUGGUGUAGCGGUGAAAUGCAUAGAUAUCACGCAGAACUCCGAUUGCGAAGGCAGCAUACCGGCGCCCGACUGACGCUGAGGCACGAAAGCGUGGGGAUCGAACAGGAUUAGAUACCCCUGUAGUC